CGAGCGCAACCCUUAUCGUUAGUUGCCAGCGGGUAAUGCCGGGGACUCUAGCGAAACUGCCGGUGUAAACCGAGAGGAAGGUGGGAUGACGUCAAAUCAGCAGGCCCUUAUGUCCAGGGCUACACACGUGUUACAAUGGCCGGUACAGAGGGCAGCUACCUGGAGACAGGAUGCGAAUCUCGAAAGCCGGUCUCAGUUCGGAUCGGAGUCUGCAACUCGACUCCGUGAAGCUGGAUUCGCUAGUAAUCGCGCAUCAGCCAUGGCCGCGGUCGAAUACGUUCCCGGGCCUU
This 290-nucleotide ribosomal RNA is filed under the name uncultured Sphingobacteriales bacterium. RNAcentral's name for it is "partial 16S ribosomal RNA". It matches the Rfam family "Bacterial small subunit ribosomal RNA", at positions 1093 to 1382 of the family's 1533-position model. The record is from RNAcentral. Lineage: Bacteria; Pseudomonadati; Bacteroidota; Sphingobacteriia; Sphingobacteriales.